RNA transcript from Brassica rapa (field mustard), 2674 nucleotides. It is a transcript of the gene named mitochondrial proton/calcium exchanger protein, with no coding region annotated. The record is from RefSeq and is a predicted model, not a curated record. NCBI's taxonomy places the organism in Eukaryota, Viridiplantae, Streptophyta, Magnoliopsida, Brassicales, Brassicaceae.
AUUUAUUUGCCGCAUCCCUAAAACCUCUCAAAACUCUCACCGGAGAUCAGACCUCAUCUCCAGAUUCCUCCGUCUCCUCUUCUCGUAUCUGUAAGUGAUACGUCGUCGUUUCCAGUUUUCGUUUUCAACUUCUUUCUCCGUCCGAUUUCAAUUGAUCGAUGCACAGCUGAUUCCUCUGUAGACAGACAACAAAGAGGGCUUUCAAGAAAAUGGCGUCAAGAGCGAUCUUACGGAGAAAGAGUAUCGUUUCUGAUUACUUGAACGUCUACGCUCGUUCAGCUCAAAGCUUUCAAUCUUCUGGAAACUCUGCUCAGAAAGUCAACAACCCUCCUCUGGUAGCCAAAGACAAGUCCUUUACUGGAGGAUAUGGUUUACUUUUGCUUUCUAGGUUCCAUGGCUCUUCUCACGUCUCGGGAAUUGGUUUUGGAAGUUUAGAGAUGGGUUCUUCUCUGGGGAUGAGAUACAUGAGCGUGUCUAUCCAUAACGCUACUAAGAAACCCGAAGAAGAGGAGAAGAGGAAAGAGGCGUCUCCUGAGGAAUGUGACCAAGCUGUUGAGAGUCUGAGCAGUGUUAAAGCCAAAGCGAAGGCUAAGCGUCUUCAAGAUUCUAAAAAGGUUGCUCGGUCGAUUCUUCAGAGGACUUGGGUUUUUAUUCUUGGCAUUGGUCCUGCUUUGAGAGCUGUUGCCUCCAUGAGCAGGGCGGAUUGGGGGAAGAAGCUCACUCACUGGAAACAAGAGUUUGUGUCAACGUUGAAACAUUAUUGGCUGGGGACGAAACUACUCUGGGCUGAUACUAGGAUCAGUUCAAGGUUGCUGCUCAAGUUGGCUGGUGGGAAGAGUCUCUCUAGGAGAGAGAGACAGCAGCUAACUCGAACGACAGCUGAUAUCUUUAGAUUAGUGCCGUUUGCUGUGUUCAUUCUCGUGCCGUUUAUGGAGUUUCUGCUGCCGGUUUUCUUGAAGCUCUUCCCUAAUAUGUUGCCGUCGACUUUCCAGGACAAGAUGAAGGAAGAGGAAGCAUUGAAAAGGAAGUUACUUGCUAGGAUAGAAUACGCUAAGUUUCUUCAGGAAACUGCCAAGGAGAUGGCUAAGGAAGUUAAGCAUUCGAGAACUGGUGAAGCCAGGCAAACCGCUGAGGACCUGGUUGAGUUUCUAGAUAAGGUUCGAAAAGGUCGACUAGUCCAAAAUGAUGAAAUUUUGGGCUUUGCAAAGCUUUUCAACGAUGAGCUUACUUUGGAUAACAUUAGCAGGCCUCGCUUGGUUAGCAUGUGUAGAAUUAUGGGUAUUAGCCCAUAUGGAACAGAUGCAUAUCUGCGAUAUAUGCUAAGAAAAAGACUUAGGAGCAUCAAGGAAGAUGAUAAACUGAUCAGAGCUGAGGGCGUGGAUUCCCUCUCAGAAGCUGAGCUACGCGAAGAUUGCAGGGAGCGGGGAAUGCUGGGGACGCUUACAGUUGAAGAGAUGAGGCAACAGCUUCGCGACUGGAUGGACUUGUCACUUAAUCACUCUGUCCCCUCGUCGUUACUGAUCUUAUCUAGGGCAUUCACGGUUGCAGGAAGAGUUGAGGCAGAUGCUGUCAGGGCAACUCUUUCUUCUCUUCCUGACGAGGUUGUGGAUACUGUUGGUGUUACUUCUCUGCCAUCUGAAGACCCUCUAUCUGAGCGGCUAAGGAAACUAGAGUACCUUGAGAUGCAAGACGAACUGAUCAAGAAAGAAGAAGAGAAAGAAGAGGAAGAGCUUACAAGGAUUAAGGAUGUUAAAGGUGGUGAAGAGGAUAAGGCGCUGCAAGAGAUGACUAUACCAACGGCCAGAGAAGCCCAAGAACAGGCCAGAGCUAGAGUUCUUGAACAGCAAGAUGAUCUUUGCAAACUUAGCCGUGCACUGGGCGUUUUGGCUUCCGCUUCUUCAGUAUGUAGAGAGCGCGAAGAGUUCUUGAGGCUGGUCAAGAAAGAGGUGGAGUUCUAUAACACAAUGGUCGAGAGAGAAGAUGUUGAUGGGGAAAAAGCUGCAAUGAAGGCAUACAAAGCAGCUAGAGAAGAUAGUGACCAAAGUGAUGAAGUUGCUGAAGCAGAUGAGGUUUCUUCUGCGCUAAUGGAAAAGGUAUACAUUAUAAGGUUGAUGGUCUGAUACAAAACCUCGAGAAGGAGAUUGAUGAUGUGGAUAUCAAAAUUGGCAAAGGCUGGCUGCUUCUUGACAGGGAUCGAGAUGGAAAGGUCACACCUGAUGAAGUUGCAGCAGCUGCGAUGUACCUGAAGGAUACACUUGCUAAUGAAGGUCUUCAACAACUAAUCAGUAAUCUCUCCAAAGAUAAAGAGGGAAGAAUUAUGGUGGAGGACAUUGUAAGGUUGGGGAGGUUAGGAAGUAAGCCAGAAGAAAAUGCAACAGAGGAAGAAGAAUCAAAUUAAACGGAAAGAGUACUCUGAUUCUUUUGAAAACUAGAGGAGAAACUACUACACUCUUUAAUACUGAGAGAAACUAUACUCUACAUAAUAGAAGGCGGCUGAGAAGCUAUUUGAAGAGCUAACACUUUAGUAUAUGUGCUUGUCGUAACAACAAGACGAGCCUGAUUAAUCCACUUAUCUUGCUUAUUUUGUACAAGUCGCAAGUAAUUAAAUUAGUUUGCGUUAAGUGACGUCUGCUAUUACCAUGUUUAUAACAAAAAUUCAUUCAAGAAAAACAAA